This 236-nucleotide ribosomal RNA is filed under the name uncultured bacterium. RNAcentral describes it as "partial 16S ribosomal RNA". It matches the Rfam family "Bacterial small subunit ribosomal RNA", at positions 541 to 776 of the family's 1533-position model. The record is from RNAcentral.
UUGUCCGGAUUUAUUGGGCGUAAAGAGCGUGUAGGCGGCCAGACAGGUCCGUUGUGAAAACUCGAGGCUCAACCUCGAGAUGUCGAUGGAAACCGUCUGGCUAGAGUCCGGAAGAGGAGUGUGGAAUUCCUGGUGUAGCGGUGAAAUGCGCAGAUAUCAGGAGGAACACCGGUGGCGAAGGCGGGUCUCUGGGCCGAUACUGACGCUGAGACGCGAAAGCGUGGGGAGCGAACAGG